ACCUACGGGACGCAGCAGUGGGGAAUAUUGCACAAUGGGGGGAACCCUGAUGCAGCGACGCCGCGUGAAGGAAGAAGUAUUUCGGUAUGUAAACUUCUAUCAGCAGGGAAGAAAAUGACGGUACCUGACUAAGAAGCCCCGGCUAACUACGUGCCAGCAGCCGCGGUAAUACGUAGGGGGCAAGCGUUAUCCGGAUUUACUGGGUGUAAAGGGAGCGUAGGCGGCGAUGCAAGUCAGAAGUGAAAUCUGGGGGCUUAACCCCCAAACUGCUUUUGAAACUGUGGGUCUUGAGUGAUGG
RNAcentral lists this ribosomal RNA (298 nucleotides) under uncultured bacterium. RNAcentral's name for it is "partial 16S ribosomal RNA". It matches the Rfam family "Bacterial small subunit ribosomal RNA", at positions 337 to 652 of the family's 1533-position model. The record is from RNAcentral.